This is a long non-coding RNA of Pseudophryne corroboree (corroboree frog), 2761 nucleotides long. RefSeq lists it as uncharacterized. NCBI's taxonomy places the organism in Eukaryota, Metazoa, Chordata, Amphibia, Anura, Myobatrachidae. The transcript has 3 exons. The record is from RefSeq and is a predicted model, not a curated record.
UGGAGUGCCACAUCACAGAGCAAAUUAGAUAUUGCAUCUGUAAUAUUUUUCCUUCCAAUACAAAAUGAAGUUGUGUUUUUUUUAUUUUUUAAAAACCUUUCCUUGAACUUGUGGCCUAUGUCAGUGUCCUGUACAUGUUUUCCUGUGUUGAUGUUGCCAUAGUGCAUAUGUGUUUUGGUCAUUGUUUUUUUUUUUUUUUUUUUCUGGUCCUUAUGUUUGUUUUAAUUAAAAACCAAGCAUUUCUAAAAGAAUAAAUGUUUAUAAGCAUAAUGGGUGGAUGUAUACACAAUAGCAUGAUUUUUUAAUAUCAUUCAUUUUAUACAGUGUCUGAAAAAAGCAGUACUCCUCGUCGGCCAGUAACUCCUAUCACAUCUGAUGAUGAUGACGCUGCGGAAGCAGGUCCAUCAAAAGAAGUAUGGAGCAGCAGAAGUGGCACUUCUGUAAGUCAUCACCACAAAAAAACUGUGCCCGAAAAGAAAGCAAGGUGGUAUGUCCCGGCACAAACACAGCAGGCUACCCCGCCACGUAGAUUAUCGUCCGUAUGUUCUGUACCCCCACUCCAAAUUUUGGACACACCUCACAUCUUGAUUCUUCGAGUCCUGGGAACAGCAUCCCUCCGCAACAACACCAACACAGUGACAUGGAGGAGACAAACAUCUUAGAAAUGCAGCCAUUAAUGCAAGGAAUGAGCCCCCCAGCACCUGUGAGUACACCACCACAGCAAAGCACACCACCACCACAACACAGCCCAACAACACCAGGAACACAAGGCCCUGAUCAGGUGUUUUGGACUAUUUGGGCUAGACAGCAGGCCACUAAUGAAGAUUGCCUGCGUAAGCAGACACAAAUGUUUGCAAGCCUACCAUCUCACCUCAGAAGAAUAUCAAGAAAUCUGAGUAGACAAAAUGAGCAAACAACCAGAAUAGGCAAUACCAUGGAACUCAUGCGAACAGACAUUACACAGGUCAUGGGCAACUUACAGCGCAUAAUGGAAGAACAGCACAGACAACAGAAAAGUUAUACAGAUGUGUCCACAUACAUCUUUGCUAUAUCCCACCAGGUAUGGCACAGUUUGGCAUGCUAUAGACUCAAAUAUUUAUCCAUGCCUUGUGAUUUUUCUUAAUUUGCUUCUUUAAUAUAUUACCUUAUACAUAUGCUAUUAUGGCAAACAAAAAUUGUAAAAUUCAUUUACUCGCUACUCGUGAAAAACAGCUUAGCCGUGUUUUGCAUGUUGCGCCAAAUUUGUAAAAAAGCAAAGAUGUAAGUAGACACAUCUGUAUGAGCAUUUUUCAAAACAAUCAAAAGAUUAAUGAAAGUUUAUUCCAAAUAGUAGACAAUCAAAAUGCUGCUACACGUGAACUCAAUGCCACCCUCACUAACCUGAAUGAAACACUCAGAUGCAUGCACCAACAGCAAACAAGCAGCAGUUCUGGUACGACUACUCCAAAUAUCACGCCAGUCUCAUUACCACCAAGACGGUCCACCAGAGCACGACAACAUGACAGUGCUAAAGGCAAAGGGCAGAACAAGCAGCCACCCAAAAAAACGUGAAAAAAAAACAAGUUAGACAUUUGUGAUAAGUAACUCAAAAUAGUUAGCAAGUGUUUUUGUUGCUUAAAAUAUAUAACACUUAGCUCCUUGACCCUUUUUUCAACAUCAUUAAUUAUAAGUGGGCCAAAAAAACCCAUAAAUUUAGUACGCACAUUUAUUCAUUAUCAUUUUUUUUUUGUAUUGGAGGAGGGAAAUGUUGAUGGAGCCACACAUACAUGUUAGCAGGAAGUAAACUGACCACUUGAUUUUUUUCUAAUCAUUACUCUUUCUAGAUUACAAUCAUUCUCUUUGCCUGCAGAUACAAUAAUUGCCAGCCAGGCAGAAUGUCUUUAGCAGGAAGUAAACUGACCACUUGAUUUUAUUCUAAUCAUUACUCUUUCUAGAUUACAAUCAUUCUGUUUGCCUGCAGAUACAAUAAUUGCCAGCCAGGCAGAAUGUCUUUAGCAGGAAGUAAACUGACCACUUGUUUUUUUUUCUAAUCAUUACUCUUUCUAGAUUCCAAUCAUUCUCUUUGCCUGCAGAUACAAUAAUUGCCAGCCAGGCAGAAUGUCUUUAGCAGGAAGAAAACUGACCACUUGAUUUUUUUCUAAUCAUUACUCUUUCUAGAUUACAAUCAUUCUCUUUGCCUGCAGAUACAAUAAUUGCCAGCCAGGCAGAAUGUCUUUAGCAGGAAGUAAACUGACCACUUGAUUUUUUUCUAAUCAUUACUCUUUCUAGAUUACAAUCAUUCUCUUUGCCUGCAGACAAUCCAAAUUACAAUGUUAGUGAUACAUAUCUUAGCUAUCUUAUCUAUACAACAUUACAAGAAGAACACAAUUGAGUUGCGUAAAAAGCUUGUAAUAUGUUGCCUUUGUUUUGUUUGUAAAACAUUGUCCAAAUGAAUGUCAGUAUUGUUGGGACAUGUUUGUGUGUGUUAAAAAUUAUUAAGCAUGUUUUUACACAUGAUGCUGAAACAAACAAAUAUGUACUUUUACAACAAAAAACCAAAACUGUGUAUAAUAAUGUAUAUGUGUGGCAAACUGUGUAUUUACUUACACAUCAUCAAGUUUACAGCAUCAAACAUUAGGAAAUAAAUUUGUCCUGAUUACAGUAAGUUUGUGAGUCUUAAAUAUGAUGGUGCAUCACACAUAGGGACACAUGUAUUCCUCAAGGCUAACAUAUUAUAUGUUGAGGAGUGUUUUUUGGGAACACAGGUUCUCAAACUCGGCCC